GGGGAAAUGAGCACCAUCAUUCUGUUGAAACAUUCUGUAAAAUGAAGAUCAAGUCUUUUAAAUUUGCCAGAAUUUGUCAGAUCCAGUGAGGAUUCAGGAUUGCUAAGGUUCUAGGUGUCCUGUCCUCUUUUGAUUUCCCUCUGAAGGGCACUGAGGCAGACUGGCCUUUUUGGGUGACAACUCAAAAAAGCUGGGUAAGCUGAAGCACACACUGCACA
Meriones unguiculatus (Mongolian gerbil) is the source of this 218-nucleotide long non-coding RNA. RefSeq lists it as uncharacterized. The record is from RefSeq and is a predicted model, not a curated record. NCBI's taxonomy places the organism in Eukaryota, Metazoa, Chordata, Mammalia, Rodentia, Muridae. The transcript is spliced from 3 exons.